CCAGAAAAUCAAGCUUAAGAUGCAUGCGGACCACAUGAAACCAGCACUUACUAUUCCAAUGGAGCAAAAUCUUUUCCCACUGCACUCGAUGGAUAAACAAGUUUCAAGUGAGAUUGGGACUUCUAAGGAUUCCUUAUGGUUCAGGUUACUCCUACAAGUUUGUUCAUAUUUUCCAAGAGGACAACUCUCACAUGAGUUGCACACAUGUGGACUGAUGCCAGUGGAACCAGUGGAAUGUUCCGGAUACACAUUCACUGUGUAAGUAUCCGCUGACUGAGGUAAGCACUUGCAAUGUAACUUUAGCGCAGUCUAAAGGUUCCAGGUAGAUGCCAGGUGUGAAAAGCAACAGAAACAAAACAAAACCAAACAAACAAAUGAACAAAACCCCAACCCACCAGCAAAAGAAAAUCCAAACGAACAAAAUAUUAUAACUAGGAUAAAAUCGGAAACAGGUUGUUAAAAAAUAAUGGUAGCUGCUUCUGUAGAGAGAUUGAUUUAAAAAGAAAGUCUCUACCAUACCAGUUUUUGCCUGUUAGCUACUUCCUGUUUCUAUUAAAUACGCUUUUGGUUUGUUAAGGAAUAUGCAGCUCAUUCUUCAAAGAACUUCCAAUCCAAAUAGCACAUGGCCCAAUAUACUGGCACCAAAACAGUGAGGAAGGGGACAAAGACAGGGAACUGUAC
Molecule: long non-coding RNA, 681 nt
Filed under: Phasianus colchicus (ring-necked pheasant)
Lineage: Eukaryota; Metazoa; Chordata; Aves; Galliformes; Phasianidae
Description: lncRNA (ENSPCLG00000004951.1)
Source: RNAcentral